RNAcentral lists this ribosomal RNA (482 nucleotides) under uncultured bacterium. RNAcentral describes it as "bacterial SSU rRNA". It matches the Rfam family "Bacterial small subunit ribosomal RNA", at positions 29 to 506 of the family's 1533-position model. The record is from RNAcentral.
UUGAACGCUGGCGGAAUGCUUUACACAUGCAAGUCGAGCGGCAGCGCGGGGGCAACCCUGGCGGCGAGCGGCGAACGGGUGAGUAACAUAUCGGAACGUACCCUAUCGUGGGGGAUAACACAUCGAAAGAUGUGCUAAUACCGCAUACGACCUGAGGGUGAAAGCAGGGGAUCGCAAGACCUUGCGCGACAGGAGCGGCCGAUAUCGGAUUAGCUAGUUGGUGAGGUAAGGGCUCACCAAGGCGACGAUCCGUAGCUGGUCUGAGAGGACGACCAGCCACACUGGAACUGAGACACGGUCCAGACUCCUACGGGAAGCAGCAGGGGGGAAUUUUGGACAAUGGGGGCAACCCUGAUCCAGCCAUUCCGCGUGAGUGAAGAAGGCCUUCGGGUUGUAAAACUCUUUCGGCAGGAACGAAACGGUGAGCUCUAACAUAGCUUGCUAAUGACGGUACCUGAAGAAGAAGCACCGGCUAACUACGU